GGCCCCAUCGUCUAGUGGACUAGGACAUCACUCUUUCAAGGUGAAAACGCGGGUUCAAUUCCCGCUGGGGCUA
RNAcentral lists this transfer RNA (73 nucleotides) under bacterium. RNAcentral's name for it is "tRNA-Glu". It matches the Rfam family "tRNA". From Rfam's summary of the family: Transfer RNA (tRNA) molecules are approximately 80 nucleotides in length. Their secondary structure includes four short double-helical elements and three loops (D, anti-codon, and T loops). RNAcentral also lists the same sequence under 2 other names. The record is from RNAcentral.